GCUUGUCUCAAAGAUUAAGCCAUGCAUGUCUAAGUAUAAACGAUUUUAUACGUGAAACUGCGAAUGGCUCAUUAUAUCAGUUAUAGUUUAUUUGAUGGUCCUUACUACUUGGAUAACCGUAGUAAUUCUAGAGCUAAUACAUGCCAAGGUCGUAAGACUGCAUUUAUUAGAUAUACCAAGUCGGUGAAUCAUAAUAACUUAGCAAAUCGAAACAACGUUUCGAUAAAUCAUUCAAGUUUCUGACCUAUCAUGCUGGAUGGUAGUGUAUUGGACUACCAAGGCAGUCACGGGUAACGGAGAAUUAGGGUUCGAUUCCGGAGAAGGAGCCUGAGAAACGGCUACUACAUCUAAGGAAGGCAGCAGG
Molecule: ribosomal RNA, 364 nt
Filed under: Loxophyllum perihoplophorum
Lineage: Eukaryota; Ciliophora; Litostomatea; Pleurostomatida; Litonotidae
Description: partial small subunit ribosomal RNA
Rfam family: Eukaryotic small subunit ribosomal RNA
Source: RNAcentral